RNAcentral lists this long non-coding RNA (760 nucleotides) under Dasypus novemcinctus (nine-banded armadillo). Its description in RNAcentral is "lncRNA (ENSDNOG00000051711.1)". Lineage: Eukaryota; Metazoa; Chordata; Mammalia; Cingulata; Dasypodidae. The record is from RNAcentral.
CCUGGACCUGCACAGACCUGUUCCCGGUGGUAGCAAUGGGACGGGCUGUUCGUCUUUAGAGGUUAGCCAAUUAGGCUAAUUACGACAUUGACCAGGGCCACAAGGAUAUGGGGCUUUGCAGCCACACGGGCCGUCACAGCCACCCGGCUCCACCAGAGAGGCUACGUGAGCGUCUGGGCAGGUGUCUGCGUGCCAGUGAAACGUAACCGAUGGCACUGCAGUUUCCACAUGUUGCACAGUAUUUGGAUUUUGUUGUCAACCACUUAAAAAUGCAUAGCCCGUUCUUAGUUCACCUGUCAUAGAGAACUAAGAACAGGUGUGUGAGUCCCCAGAGAGACCCAGGGCUCGACGCCGCACACCUGCUCGUUGUGCUGUCAAGACUAUUUCACGGCAUGGAGAACAAUCUCAGCAUGAAGCUGAGUGAAAAUAACAGGCUAAGAAGCCGGGUUUUACCCCUUCCCUGGGCAGUGGGGCACAGACCACGCUCGCCAGCUGACCAAGGACGUGAUGCGGAAGCCGACCGCGGAGCGCCUGCUGAGGCAGCGGGAGGCCUACAUCCAGAACUUCGUGGACUUCAUCUCCAGGGCCCCCAUGCAGAAGGCCCUUCAGCUGUACUUGGAGAAGCUGAAGCAGAGGAAGGCUUGAGGGCCCAGCUGCCCCCACAGCAGACCCAGCCCUUGGAGGGCCUUUGGGUUCCUUGCGGUCCCCGGGUGUCAAAGCCCGUCUUCCUCCAGUUAAAAGUACUUCAGCUCUUGGCUUU